GGGAAUGUAGCUUAGUGGUAGAGUGCUUGCCUCUCAUGUAUGAAGCCCUGGGUUCAAUUCCUCACUACCA
This 70-nucleotide transfer RNA is filed under the name Dipodomys ordii (Ord's kangaroo rat). It matches the Rfam family "tRNA". From Rfam's summary of the family: Transfer RNA (tRNA) molecules are approximately 80 nucleotides in length. Their secondary structure includes four short double-helical elements and three loops (D, anti-codon, and T loops). Lineage: Eukaryota; Metazoa; Chordata; Mammalia; Rodentia; Heteromyidae. The record is from Rfam by way of RNAcentral.